Molecule: ribosomal RNA, 253 nt
Filed under: uncultured bacterium
Lineage: Bacteria
Description: partial 16S ribosomal RNA
Rfam family: Bacterial small subunit ribosomal RNA
Source: RNAcentral
UACGAAGGUGGCAAGCGUUGUUCGGAUUUACUGGGCGUAAAGGGAGCGUAGGUGGUUAGGUAAGCCCUCCGGGAAAUCUUCAGGCUUAACCUGAAAAGGUCGGGGGGGACUGCCUGGCUAGAGGACGGGAGAGGAGCGCGGAAUUCCAGGUGUAGCGGUGAAAUGCGUAGAUAUCUGGAGGAACACCGGUGGCGAAGGCGGCAUCCUGGACCGGUAUUGACGCUGAGGCGCGAAAGCCAGGGGAGCAAACGGG